This 332-nucleotide ribosomal RNA is filed under the name uncultured Omnitrophica bacterium. RNAcentral describes it as "bacterial SSU rRNA". It matches the Rfam family "Bacterial small subunit ribosomal RNA", at positions 29 to 351 of the family's 1533-position model. Lineage: Bacteria; Pseudomonadati; Candidatus Omnitrophota. The record is from RNAcentral.
AACGAACGCUGGCGGCGUGGAUUAGGCAUGCAAGUCGAACGAUCCGGCACGCAAGUGCCGGAUAGUGGCGCAAGGGUGAGUAACGCGCGGGUAAUUUGCCCUCCGGGUGGGGAUAACCAGAAGAAAUUCUGGCUAAUACCGAAUAACACACUCUGUCGCAUGGCAGGGGAGUUAAAGGCUCCGUUUCGGCGGAGUCACCGGAGGAGAAGCCCACGUCCUAUUAGCUAGUUGGUGGGGUAAUGGCUCACCAAGGCUUUUGAUGGGUAGCCGAGCUGAGAGGCUGACCGGCCACACUGGGACUGAGACACUGCCCAGACUCCUACGGGUGGCUG